This is a long non-coding RNA of Cyprinus carpio carpio, 1212 nucleotides long. Lineage: Eukaryota; Metazoa; Chordata; Actinopteri; Cypriniformes; Cyprinidae. The record is from Ensembl.
AUGUACUUCUAUAUAUUCAGAUUUGUCUCUAUACAUUCAUAUUUACAUGUAUAUAUUCAGAUUUGUAUCUAUAUAUUCAGAUUUAUAUUUAUAUAUUCAGAUGUACUUCUAUAUAUUCAUAUUUACAUUUAUAUAUUCAGAUGUACUUCUAUAUAUUCAGAUUUGUCUCUAUACAUUCAGAUUUACAUUUAUAUAUUCAGAUUUGUAUCUAUAUAUUCAGAUUUACAUUUAUAUAUUCAGAUGUACUUCUAUAUAUUCAGAUUUGUAUCUAUUUAUUCAGAUUUGCAUUUAUAUAUUCAGAUGUACUUCUAUGUGUUCAGAUUUGUAUCUAUAUAUUCAUAUUUACUUUUAUGUAUUCAGAUGUACUUCUAUGUGUUCAGAUUUGUAUCUAUAUAUUCAUAUUUACAGUUAUAUAUUCAGAUGUACUUCUAUAUAUUCAGAUUUGUCUCUAUACAUUCAGAUUUACUGUACAUGUAUAUAUUCAGAUUUGUAUCUAUAUAUUCAGAUUUACAUAUAUAUACUGAGAUUUACAUGUAUAUAUUGAGAUUUGUAUCUAUAUAUUCAUAUUUACAUUUAUAUAUUCAGAUGUACUUCUAUAUAUUCAGAUUUGUAUCUAUAUAUUCAUAUUUACAUUUAUAUAUCCAGAUGUACUUCUAUAUAUUCAGAUUUGUCUCUAUACAUUCAGAUUUACAUUUAUAUAUUCAGAUUUGUAUCUAUAUAUUCAGAUUUACAUUUAUAUAUUCAGAUGUACUUCUAUAUAUUCAGAUUUGUCUCUAUAUAUUCAGAUUUACAUGUAUAUAUUCAGAUUUGUAUCUAUGUGUUCAGAUUUGUAUCUAUAUAUUCAUAUUUACUUUUAAGUAUUCAGAUGUACUUCUAUGUGUUCAGAUUUGUAUCUAUAUAUUGAUAUUUACAUUUAUAUAUUCAGAUGUACUUCUACAUAUUCAUAUUUACCUUUAUGUAUUCAGAUGUACUUCUAUAUAUUCAGAUUUGUAUCUAUAUAUUCAGAUUUACAUUUAUAUAUUGAGAUUUACAUGUAUAUAUUCAGAUUUGUAUCUAUAUAUUCAGAUUUACAUUUAUAUAUUCAGAUGUACUUCUAUGUGUUCAGAUUUGUAUCUAUAUAUUCAUAUUUACCUUUAUGUAUUCAGAUGUACUUCUAUAUAUUCAGAUUUGUAUCUAUAUAUUCAUAUUAACAUUUAUAUAUUCUAUAUAUAA